Molecule: small RNA, 28 nt
Filed under: Bombyx mori (domestic silkworm)
Lineage: Eukaryota; Metazoa; Arthropoda; Insecta; Lepidoptera; Bombycidae
Description: ovarian small RNA-18775
Source: RNAcentral
UAACCUUACCAGUUCGUAAAAUUUGGGU